AGUGAACGCUGGCGGUAGGCCUAACACAUGCAAGUCGAACGGAAGCACAGUAAGAGCUUGCUCUUACGGGUGGCGAGUGGCGGACGGGUGAGGAAUACAUCAGAAUCUACUUUUUCGUGGGGGAUAACGUAGGGAAACUUACGCUAAUACCGCAUACGACCUACGGGUGAAAGCAGUGGUUCUUCGGACCUUGCGCGAUUGAAUGAGCCGAUGUCGGAUUAGCUAGUUGGCGGGGUAAAGGCUCACCAAGGCGACGAUCCGUAGCUGGUCUGAGAGGAUGAUCAGCCACACUGGAACUGAGACACGGUCCAGACUCCUACGGGAGGCAGCAGUGGGGAAUAUUGGACAAUGGGCGCAAGCCUGAUCCAGCCAUACCGCGUGGGUGAAGAAGGCCUUCGGGUUGUAAAGCCCUGUUGUUGGGAAAGAAAAGCAGCAGGUGAAUACCCCGCUGUUCUGACGGUACCCAAAGAAUAAGCACCGGCUAACUUCGUG
Molecule: ribosomal RNA, 492 nt
Filed under: uncultured bacterium
Lineage: Bacteria
Description: partial 16S ribosomal RNA
Rfam family: Bacterial small subunit ribosomal RNA
Source: RNAcentral